AUUACGUCCCUGCCCUUUGUACACACCGCCCGUCGCUACUACCGAUUGAAUGGCUUAAGUGAGGCCCUCGGAUCGAUGCUCGGAGACUGGCAACAGUUUCAGUUCGUUGAGAAGUUGGUCAAACUUGGUCAUUUAGAGGAAGUAAAAGUCGUACCAAGGUUUCCGUAGGUGAACCUGCGGAAGGAUCAUU
This 190-nucleotide ribosomal RNA is filed under the name uncultured Glomus. RNAcentral describes it as "partial 18S ribosomal RNA". It matches the Rfam family "Eukaryotic small subunit ribosomal RNA", at positions 1644 to 1830 of the family's 1831-position model. Lineage: Eukaryota; Fungi; Glomeromycota; Glomeromycetes; Glomerales; Glomeraceae. The record is from RNAcentral.